RNAcentral lists this ribosomal RNA (497 nucleotides) under uncultured bacterium. RNAcentral describes it as "partial 16S ribosomal RNA". It matches the Rfam family "Bacterial small subunit ribosomal RNA", at positions 28 to 507 of the family's 1533-position model. The record is from RNAcentral.
GAUGAACGCUGGCGGCGUGCCUAAUACAUGCAAGUCGAGCGAACAGACGAGGAGCUUGCUCCUCUGACGUUAGCGGCGGACGGGUGAGUAACACGUGGAUAACCUACCUAUAAGACUGGGAUAACUUCGGGAAACCGGAGCUAAUACCGGAUAAUAUAUUGAACCGCAUGGUUCAAUAGUGAAAGACGGUUUUGCUGUCACUUAUAGAUGGAUCCGCGCCGCAUUAGCUAGUUGGUAAGGUAACGGCUUACCAAGGCAACGAUGCGUAGCCGACCUGAGAGGGUGGUCGGCCACACUGGAACUGAGACACGGUCCAGACUCCUACGGGAGGCAGCAGUAGGGAAUCUUCCGCAGUGGGCGAAAGCCUGACGGAGCGACGCCGCGUGUGUGAUGAAGGUCUUCGGAUCGUAAAACUCUGUUAUUAGUGAAGAACAACUGUGUAAGUAACUAUGCACGUCUUGACGGUACCUGAUCAGAAAGCCCCGGCUAACUACGUG